CCCAGACAGCCAGGAUGUUGGCUUAGAAGCAGCCAUCAUUUAAAGAAAGCGUAAUAGCUCACUGGUCGAGUCGGCCUGCGCGGAAGAUGUAACGGGGCUAAACCAUGCACCGAAGCUGCGGCAGCGACACUGUGUGUUGUUGGGUAGGGGAGCGUUCUGUAAGCCUGUGAAGGUGUGUCGUGAGGCAUGCUGGAGGUAUCAGAAGUGCGAAUGCUGACAUAAGUAACGAUAAAGCGGGUGAAAAGCCCGCUCGCCGGAAGACCAAGGGUUCCUGUCCAACGUUAAUCGGGGCAGG
This 295-nucleotide ribosomal RNA is filed under the name Salmonella enterica subsp. enterica serovar Anatum. RNAcentral describes it as "partial 23S ribosomal RNA". It matches the Rfam family "Bacterial large subunit ribosomal RNA", at positions 1084 to 1378 of the family's 2925-position model. The record is from RNAcentral. Lineage: Bacteria; Pseudomonadati; Pseudomonadota; Gammaproteobacteria; Enterobacterales; Enterobacteriaceae.